GAUGAACGCUGGCGGCGUGCCUAAUACAUGCAAGUCGAGCGAACAGAUGCGGAUCUUGCUCCUCUCACGUUAGCGGCGGACGGGUGAGUAACACGUGGAUACCCUACCUAUCAGACUGGGAUAACUUCGGGAAACCGGAUCUAAUCCCGGAUAAUAUCUUGAACCGCAGUGGUCGAUGGUGAGAGACGGCUUUGCGGUCACUUAUAGAUGCUUCUGCGCCGCAUUGGCUAGUUGGUAAGGUAACGGCUUACCAAGGCAACGAUGCGUAGCCGACCUGAGAGGGUGAUAGCCGACACGGGAACUGGAACGCGGUCAAGACUACUGAGAGAGGCAGCAGUAGGGAAUGUGCCGCAAUGGGCGAGAGCCUGACGGAGCAACGCGGCGUGAGUGAUGAAGGUCUUCGGAUCGGAAAACUCUGUUAUUAGGGAAGAACAACUGUGUAAGUAACUAUGCACGUAUUGACGGUAACUGAUCAGAAAGCAACGGCUAACUACGUG
Molecule: ribosomal RNA, 497 nt
Filed under: uncultured bacterium
Lineage: Bacteria
Description: partial 16S ribosomal RNA
Rfam family: Bacterial small subunit ribosomal RNA
Source: RNAcentral